UGCAGUCGAGUCAAAUUCGGCCCUCAUCUCGCCGUGGUGGGGGCCAGCCCAGAUGGCUGCCACAGCAAGCUCUGCUGCUCAUGGGCUCUGGGUCCCCUGCCUGGGACCCGGGGAUAAGUUUGGCUGCGGACAUAG
This 135-nucleotide small nucleolar RNA is filed under the name Chinchilla lanigera (long-tailed chinchilla). Its description in RNAcentral is "Small nucleolar RNA SNORA5 (ENSCLAG00000019927.1)". It matches the Rfam family "Small nucleolar RNA SNORA5". Rfam says of the family: ACA5 is a member of the H/ACA class of snoRNA that guide the sites of modification of uridines to pseudouridines. Lineage: Eukaryota; Metazoa; Chordata; Mammalia; Rodentia; Chinchillidae. The record is from Rfam by way of RNAcentral.